UACGUAGGGUGCAAGCGUUGUCCGGAAUUAUUGGGCGUAAAGAGCUCGUAGGCGGUUCGUCGCGUCGGCUGUGAAAUCCCGGAGCUCAACUCCGGGUCUGCAGUCGAUACGGGCGGACUUGAGUACUGCAGGGGAGACUGGAAUUCCUGGUGUAGCGGUGAAAUGCGCAGAUAUCAGGAGGAACACCGGUGGCGAAGGCGGGUCUCUGGGCAGUAACUGACGCUGAGGAGCGAAAGCAUGGGGAGCGAACAGG
RNAcentral lists this ribosomal RNA (253 nucleotides) under uncultured bacterium. RNAcentral describes it as "partial 16S ribosomal RNA". It matches the Rfam family "Bacterial small subunit ribosomal RNA", at positions 524 to 776 of the family's 1533-position model. The record is from RNAcentral.